AAUCCGUGUUGUGGACACUUCCGCAAGUGAUCCUUGAAUUGCUCCCACAUCUCAAACAAGGAUUUAAGAUCCAUCUGAACAAAUGACGAUAUCUCAUUACGAAGCUU
This is a small nucleolar RNA of Dioscorea cayenensis subsp. rotundata (Guinea yam), 107 nucleotides long. The record is from RefSeq and is a predicted model, not a curated record. NCBI's taxonomy places the organism in Eukaryota, Viridiplantae, Streptophyta, Magnoliopsida, Dioscoreales, Dioscoreaceae.